Molecule: ribosomal RNA, 372 nt
Filed under: uncultured organism
Description: partial 16S ribosomal RNA
Rfam family: Bacterial small subunit ribosomal RNA
Source: RNAcentral
GUAGGUGGCAAGCGUUGUCCGGAAUUAUUGGGCGUAAAGCGCGCGCAGGCGGUUCUUUAAGUCUGAUGUGAAGGCCCACGGCUCAACCGUGGAGGGUCAUUGGAAACUGGAGAACUUGAGUACAGAAGAGGAAAGCGGAAUUCCACGUGUAGCGGUGAAAUGCGUAGAGAUGUGGAGGAACACCAGUGGCGAAGGCGGCUUUCUGGUCUGUAACUGACGCUGAGGCGCGAAAGCGUGGGGAGCAAACAGGAUUAGGUACCCUGGUAGUCCACGCCGUAAACGAUGAGUGCUAAGUGUUAGGGGGUUUCCGCCCCCUUAGUGCUGCAGCUAACGCAUUAAGCACUCCGCCUGGGGAGUACGGCCGCAAGGCUG